This 1445-nucleotide ribosomal RNA is filed under the name uncultured bacterium. RNAcentral's name for it is "bacterial SSU rRNA". It matches the Rfam family "Bacterial small subunit ribosomal RNA". The record is from RNAcentral.
AGAGUUUGAUCCUGGCUCAGGAUGAACGCUGGCGGCGUGCUUAACACAUGCAAGUCGAACGAACCUUCGGGUUAGUGGCGGACGGGUGAGUAACGCGUGAGAAUCUGCCCUCAGGAGGGGGAUAACAGUUGGAAACGACUGCUAAUACCCCAUAUGCCGAGAGGUGAAAUGAAUUUCGCCUGGGGAUGAGCUCGCGUCUGAUUAGCUUGUUGGUGGGGUAAUAGCCUACCAAGGCUUCGAUCAGUAGCUGGUCUGAGAGGACGAUCAGCCACACUGGGACUGAGACACGGCCCAGACUCCUACGGGAGGCAGCAGUGGGGAAUUUUCCGCAAUGGGCGAAAGCCUGACGGAGCAACGCCGCGUGAGGGAUGGAGGCCUUUGGGCUGUAAACCUCUUUUCUCAAGGAAGAAGAUCUGACGGUACUUGAGGAAUAAGCCACGGCUAAUUCCGUGCCAGCAGCCGCGGUAAUACGGGAGUGGCAAGCGUUAUCCGGAAUUAUUGGGCGUAAAGCGUCCGCAGGCGGCCGUUUAAGUCUGUUGUUAAAUCGUGGAGCUCAACUCCAUCACGGCAAUGGAAACUGUUCGGCUUGAGUAUGGUAGGGGCAGAGGGAAUUUCCGGUGUAGCGGUGAAAUGCGUAGAUAUCGGGAAGAACACCAGUGGCGAAAGCGCUCUGCUGGGCCAUUACUGACGCUCAUGGACGAAAGCCAGGGGAGCGAAAGGGAUUAGAUACCCCUGUAGUCCUGGCCGUAAACGAUGAACACUAGAUGUUGGGGGAAUCGACCCCCUCGGUGUCGUAGCUAACGCGUUAAGUGUUCCGACUGGGGAGUACGCACGCAAGUGUGAAGCUCAAAGGAAUUGACGGGGGCCCGCACAAGCGGUGGAGUAUGUGGUUUAAUUCGAUGCAACGCGAAGAACCUUACCAAGGCUUGACAUCCUGCGAAUCUCUAAGAAAUUAGAGAGUGCCUUCGGGAACGCAGUGACAGGUGGUGCAUGGCUGUCGUCAGCUCGUGUCGUGAGAUGUUGGGUUAAGUCCCGCAACGAGCGCAACCCACGUUUUUAGUUGCCAGCAUUCAGUUGGGCACUCUAGAAAGACUGCCGGUGACAAACCGGAGGAAGGUGUGGACGACGUCAAGUCAUCAUGCCCCUUACGCCUUGGGCUACACACGUACUACAAUGCUGCGGACAAAGAGUAGCGAUCUUGCGAAAGUUAGCUAAUCUCAUAAACCGUGGCUCAGUUCAGAUCGUAGGCUGCAACUCGCCUACGUGAAGGAGGAAUCGCUAGUAAUCGCAGGUCAGCAUACUGCGGUGAAUACGUUCCCGGGCCUUGUACACACCGCCCGUCACACCAUGGAAGUUGGCCAUGCCCGAAGUCGUUACUCUAACCUUUUGGAAGAGGGCGCCGAAGGCAGGGCUAAUGACUGGGGUGAAGUCGUAACAAGGUAACC